ACGGUAGCACAGAGGAGCUUGCUCCUUGGGUGACGAGUGGCGGACGGGUGAGUAAUGUCUGGGAAACUGCCCGAUGGAGGGGGAUAACUACUGGAAACGGUAGCUAAUACCGCAUAACGUCGCAAGACCAAAGAGGGGGACCUUCGGGCCUCUUGCCAUCGGAUGUGCCCAGAUGGGAUUAGCUAGUAGGUGGGGUAACGGCUCACCUAGGCGACGAUCCCUAGCUGGUCUGAGAGGAUGACCAGCCACACUGGAACUGAGACACGGUCCAGACUCCUACGGGAGGCAGCAGUGGGGAAUAUUGCACAAUGGGCGCAAGCCUGAUGCAGCCAUGCCGCGUGUAUGAAGAAGGCUUUCGGGUUGUAAAGUACUUUCAGCGAGGAGGAAGGUGUUGUGGUUAAUAACUGCAGCAAUUGACGUUACUCGCAGAAGAAGCACCGGCUAACUCCGUGCCAGCAGCCGCGGUAAUACGGAGGGUGCAAGCGUUAAUCGGAAUUACUGGGCGUAAAGCGCACGCAGGCGGUCUGUCAAGUCGGAUGUGAAAUCCCCGGGCUCAACCUGGGAACUGCAUCCGAAACUGGCAGGCUAGAGUCUUGUAGAGGGGGGGUAGAAUUCCAGGUGUAGCGGUGAAAUGCGUAGAGAUCUGGAGGAAUACGGUGGGCGAUGCGGCCCCUGACAAAGACUGACGCUCAGUGCGAAAGCGUGGGGAGCAAACAGAUUAGAUACCCUG
Molecule: ribosomal RNA, 730 nt
Filed under: uncultured bacterium
Lineage: Bacteria
Description: bacterial SSU rRNA
Rfam family: Bacterial small subunit ribosomal RNA
Source: RNAcentral